UCUUUAUUGGUUUCAAAGUAACUUCCUCCUUUGUUUCUUCUUCCUUAGGAAGCCGUUUAACUGGUUUUAGAGUCACCUCUUCAGGUUUCUCUUCUUCUGGUUUAUCCAAUCUCUUGAAAGGUUUCAAUUUUACUUCUGGUUUCUCUUCUUCCGGUUUCUCUUUCUUUAUUGGUUUCAAAGCAACCUCUUCCUUCGUUUCUUCUUCCUUGGGAAGACGUUUGACAGGUUUUAACGUGAUCUC
Molecule: long non-coding RNA, 241 nt
Organism: Hylaeus anthracinus
Lineage: Eukaryota; Metazoa; Arthropoda; Insecta; Hymenoptera; Colletidae
Exons: 2
Source: RefSeq, a predicted model, not a curated record